RNAcentral lists this microRNA (21 nucleotides) under Oreochromis niloticus (Nile tilapia). RNAcentral describes it as "oni-miR-10930". The record is from miRBase by way of RNAcentral. Lineage: Eukaryota; Metazoa; Chordata; Actinopteri; Cichliformes; Cichlidae.
AGAGAGCUCUAAUGUCACUUA